Molecule: small nuclear RNA, 104 nt
Organism: Chiloscyllium plagiosum (whitespotted bambooshark)
Lineage: Eukaryota; Metazoa; Chordata; Chondrichthyes; Orectolobiformes; Hemiscylliidae
Source: RefSeq, a predicted model, not a curated record
GCUCACUUUGGCAGCACAUUUAUUAAAAUUGGAAUGUACAGAGAAGAUUAGCAUGGCUUCUGAGCUAGGUUGAGAUGCAAAUUCGUGAAGCUUUCCAUAUUUCU